Ictidomys tridecemlineatus (thirteen-lined ground squirrel) is the source of this 72-nucleotide non-coding RNA. NCBI's taxonomy places the organism in Eukaryota, Metazoa, Chordata, Mammalia, Rodentia, Sciuridae. The record is from Rfam.
UGGGGUGUGGCUCAGUGGUAGAGCACUUGCCUCGAAUGCUUGAGGCCCUGGGUUCAAUCCUCAACACUACGU